AAUGAUACGUCGUGCUUGUGUUUUCAUGCUCGAAGUUAGACCUAAUCUACGUGCAGAGCUGAUGAAGACUGUUCUUUCUAGUUCUUACCAUCUGAGGUAUCAAAAGCAUCUCAGAAGAUUUUUCAUCUAGAAUUGCUGAUAUUUUCAGUUUUAUGGAUGUUAAAAUUGAAAAGAAUGUAUAUUGCGUAGAAAGUGAUUCACUGAUUCUACAUGAAAUGUUUGCUUUACAUUUCUAGUUUGCUGCAUUUGAUUAUAUUAUAUAUUUUGUUAGUUUAUAUGAUAUAUAUGUAUUUGAGGAUUUCUACUUGAAGAACUGUUAGGUUAACUAUUACCUUAAGGGUUCGUUUGGUACGAGGGAUAAGGGAUAAUUAAUCCCGGCAUUAAAUUUUAGAUGAGUUUAUCCCACGGUUGGUUGGGAUAAAAUUGUGGUACAACUAAUCCCGGGAUUGUAGUGUUUUUUUAUCCCUAUGAGGGUGGGAUAACUAAUCCCGGGAUAACUUGUUUCCCAACCAAAUGACCCCUAAGUUUUCUAAACAUCUGCCAGAAGAUGCUGCACUUCCUCCUCUGCGUCCAGGAAAAAAUAUUGGUUACUGAUGAGGGAGAAAUUCUAAUUAUCUGCUUUUUCUGGCUCCUGUUCUUUCUUGAGGUUUUCUUGGCAAUGAUAAUGUCUUUAUUAAUUAAUUAACAAUUCUUUUGCAGGCAUGACAAAAUGCAUCAAGCAGAGUAGCAGAUGAGCGUUUUGCAUGAGCAUGAAGUCAUUGUACCAUAAUUGUUUGUUUGGUGGUGACUAGCAGCCUAAAUUUUGUAAGUUGGGUCUUUGUUGGUCUGUUUUGUUAGUUCCAAUUUGGACAUUCAGGCUGCUAAAGUUUCACAUAUUUGAAAUAUGUAGGACUUCCUUUUGUAAGAACAUAUUAAUUUGCAUUAACAGCAUAUUGUGUGUGAAAUUGGUUGGCGGUUUCAGUUUGCAUUGCCUAUUGAUCUGAUUAGAUCCAUCUUCUCCCACCUUACUCGUCAUUUUUUUCUUGGGAAUGUAUCGGACAGAAAAACUGUCAAUGAAAUGCCCGAUUGAUUCUUGCACUGUAAAAGACGUGAAAAUGUUUCUCAAAUUCAGAUUUUAGGAACUUGAACAUUUCUAUUGGGACCUUUUCAUCUAUACAGGUAUACUUCAUAUUGCUGAUAAUAGCAAUGUGCCUCCGUUUGAAUGAAUCAAUGACCUGUGUGAUAAUAUCGUUCUGUAUUUCUACAUUCCUAUGAUUUUGAACACUCCUAUGUAUUUCUACAUUCCUAAGAAUGGUCAACAUUGUUCUUCUAUCUUUGCGGAGCAUCAACCGGCAGGGUCUUACGGAUUCCUGAUUAUAUGGAUCUCCCGAAGGUUUUAUUUGAGUGAGAGAAUGUGAAUCUCUUCAUCCCUAGACAAGCCUGGAAAAGUCAUAGUUGAAAAAUGUAAAUAAAGUGAAACGAUAGGACAAUGACCAACUUUAUAUGAUACACUUGAUAAGAUGAUGGUUUUGAUGGACAUGCUUUUGUUUGAUUGGCACAUAGUUGAAUUAGGAACAAAUACACAUACUAGAUCGUAAUGUUUGACCUAUCACAAUGAAAAGUGAUUGCAAAUUGGUGGGAAGAAAAAAGAAUCCUACUGGACUGUAGCAUUUAACUUGGUCUUUCAGCUUCAGUAUGUGUAUACUUUUCAAUAACUGGUUUUCUUUGUAAGAGAAUUUCUGUCUGAAGAUCUUGAGCAAACAUUGAUUAAGCUAAAAAUAGUACUAUUAGUUACUCUAUACGUAUUAAUGGUUGAUACACACACAUUACAAUAUUGACAUCAAACACUGGAUCCUUUAAGAGAGCCUUUGAAAAGAAACGAGCAAAUUAGAGAAGAUUAGUUAUUCUUUUUAUAAAAGGGGUGCAAAUGGUGCUGAUAGAUAUUUGUAUUUUAGUUGGUGUAGGAUA
Molecule: long non-coding RNA, 1947 nt
Filed under: Nicotiana tabacum (common tobacco)
Lineage: Eukaryota; Viridiplantae; Streptophyta; Magnoliopsida; Solanales; Solanaceae
Description: long non-coding RNA (NTAB_LNC004789)
Source: RNAcentral